RNAcentral lists this ribosomal RNA (363 nucleotides) under Staphylococcus epidermidis NIHLM021. RNAcentral's name for it is "bacterial SSU rRNA". It matches the Rfam family "Bacterial small subunit ribosomal RNA", at positions 1 to 353 of the family's 1533-position model. The record is from RNAcentral. Lineage: Bacteria; Bacillati; Bacillota; Bacilli; Caryophanales; Staphylococcaceae.
UUUUAUGGAGAGUUUGAUCCUGGCUCAGGAUGAACGCUGGCGGCGUGCCUAAUACAUGCAAGUCGAGCGAACAGAUGAGGAGCUUGCUCCUCUGACGUUAGCGGCGGACGGGUGAGUAACACGUGGAUAACCUACCUAUAAGACUGGGAUAACUACGGGAAACCGGAGCUAAUACCGGAUAAUAUAUUGAACCGCAUGGUUCAAUAGUGAAAGACGGUUUUGCUGUCACUUAUAGAUGGAUCCGCGCCGCAUUAGCUAGUUGGUAAGGUAACGGCUUACCAAGGCAACGAUGCGUAGCCGACCUGAGAGGGUGAUCGGCCACACUGGAACUGAGACACGGUCCAGACUCCUACGGGAGCAGCA